This is a long non-coding RNA of Pogoniulus pusillus (Red-fronted tinkerbird), 1071 nucleotides long. RefSeq lists it as uncharacterized. NCBI's taxonomy places the organism in Eukaryota, Metazoa, Chordata, Aves, Piciformes, Lybiidae. The transcript has 2 exons. The record is from RefSeq and is a predicted model, not a curated record.
CUGCAGGUGUCUCAAAAGGCUGUAAAGGUCUUGAAGUGCUUUGCAAAGGUCUCGAGGUGUCUGUAGAGGUCUUUAGAGGUCUGCAGGGGCCUCUUAAAGAUAUGUAGGAGUCUGCAGGGAUCUAUUGACAGGUUGGGUGGGGUCCCUAGAGCUCUCUAGGAGACUGGAGUGGUCUGUAGGUUUCUGUAGGGGUUUGCAAGUUUCUGUAGCAUUCAGUAGGUGUCUGGAGGUUUCUGUUAGGGGUCCGCAGGUGUGUGCAGGCAUCAUUUAAGGCUCUGGAAGGGUCUAUAGAUGUGUGCAGGGGUCUGUUAAAUAUCUGGAGGGGUCUGAAGGGGACUGGGGAGCUCUGUAGGGGUCUGUAUGUGUUUGCAGGCAGCUGCAGGGGUCCGUAGAUGCCUGUAGGGAUUUGCAGGGGUCUUAGUUGUCUGCAGGGGUGGGUCGAGGUUUUAAAUCGUUGCUGUAAAUAGCAUUUAUGUCUUUAGAAACCUCCUUGCAAUUAUAAUUUAGAUUGUGGGAAAUUAUAUUUUUUGUUAAAAUAGAAAGUAUUUACCCAUAUUUAUUAAAUUUAUUUUGUAGGAUGUUGUGGGUGUUCUUUUCUCUUUUACAGAGAAUGAAGAUUAUGGAGGGGAAACUGAGGUGACUUCAGAGCAGAGAAGUGAUAUUUUGGAGGAAAAAGCUGAACAGGUCUCUUGGGAAGGAAGCAAAAACUCUGGAGGAAAAAUCUGAGGAGAUGCGGAGUUCUCAUCUCACUGAAGAUCUUAGAAAAGUUGUGUUUUGCUGCCCACCAUGCGUGUCUCUGCUACGAAUGUGCAAGCGGGAGGAGUGGCUGAUACUUCUUGAAGCUGUGCUACUCUUCAGGCCCAUUUUAGCAGGUUGGGGAGCUGCAGACAGGACACCUGAGGAAGGUCAGCAAAGGUAAGUGUGGAGUCCUGCAUGUGGGGAGAAAGAAGUAUUAGAUGUUGUAUCUUUCAUCCCGCUGUGUUCUAAAAUCUCUUAAGAACAAGUGUUGGCUUGGUAGAGUGCAUCUAUUUCGUCUAUUAUAUAUAAAGGCUUCUAGACUAUAACCUCAAA